GCAUGCUUUACACAUGCAAGUCGAACGGCAGCGGGGGCUUCGGCCUGCCGGCGAGUGGCGAACGGGUGAGUAAUGCAUCGGAACGUGCCCAUGUCGUGGGGGAUAACUACGCGAAAGCGUGGCUAAUACCGCAUACGCCCUGAGGGGGAAAGCGGGGGAUCUUUCGGGACCUCGCGCGAUUGGAGCGGCCGAUGUCGGAUUAGCUAGUUGGUGGGGUAAAGGCUCACCAAGGCGACGAUCCGUAGCUGGUCUGAGAGGAUGACCAGCCACACUGGGACUGAGACACGGCCCAGACUCCUACGGGAGGCAGCAGCGGGGAAUUUUGGACAAUGGGCGCAAGCCUGAUCCAGCCAUGCCGCGUGAGUGAAGAAGGCCUUCGGGUUGUAAAGCUCUUUCGGCCGGGAAGAAAUCGUGGUCUCUAACAUAGGCCAUGGAUGACGGUACCGGACUAAGAAGCACCGGCUAACUACGUGCCAGCAGCCGCGGUAAUACGUAGGGUGCGAGCGUUAAUCGGAAUUACUGGGCGUAAAGCGUGCGCAGGCGGUUUGCUAAGACAGGUGUGAAAUCCCCGGGCUUAACCUGGGAACUGCGCUUGUGACUGGCAGGCUAGAGUACGGCAGAGGGGGGUGGAAUUCCUGGUGUAGCAGUGAAAUGCGUAGAUAUCAGGAGGAACACCGAUGGCGAAGGCAGCCCCCUGGGCCUGUACUGACGCUCAUGCACGAAAGCGUGGGGAGCAAACAUGGAAAUAGAUACCCUGGUAGUCCACGCCCUAAACGAUGUCGACUAGUCGUUCGGAGCAGCAAUGCACUGAGUGACGCAGCUAACGCGUGAAGUCGACCGCCUGGGGAGUACGGCCGCAAGGUUAAAACUCAAAGGAAUUGACGGGGACCCGCACAAGCGGUGGAUGAUGUGGAUUAAUUCGAUGCAACGCGAAAAACCUUACCUACCCUUGACAUGCCUGGAAGUCUGGUGAGAGCCGGAUGUGCCUUCGGGAGCCAGGACACAGGUGCUGCAUGGCUGUCGUCAGCUCGUGUCGUGAGAUGUUGGGUUAAGUCCCGCAACGAGCGCAACCCUUGUCACUAGUUGCCAUCAUUGAGUUGGGCACUCUAGUGAGACUGCCGGUGACAAACCGGAGGAAGGUGGGGAUGACGUCAAGUCCUCAUGGCCCUUAUGGGUAGGGCUUCACACGUCAUACAAUGGUCGGUACAGAGGGUUGCCAAGCCGCGAGGUGGAGCCAAUCCCACAAAGCCGAUCGUAGUCCGGAUCGUAGUCUGCAACUCGACUACGUGAAGUCGGAAUCGCUAGUAAUCGCAGAUCAGCAUGCUGCGGUGAAUACGUUCCCGGGUCUUGUACACACCGCCCGUCACACCAUGGGAGUGGGUUUCACCAGAAGUAGGUAGCUUAACCCUCGGGA
Molecule: ribosomal RNA, 1414 nt
Filed under: uncultured bacterium
Lineage: Bacteria
Description: bacterial SSU rRNA
Rfam family: Bacterial small subunit ribosomal RNA
Source: RNAcentral